CACGACUGAGCGACUGAACUGAACUGACUGCCCGCAGCUUUGGGUCCCCGUCCACAGGAAGCACUCACUCUGGUCCAGCCUCCCAUUCCACCUCCACGAGGACCCCGAGAAACAACAACACAGAAGGGGCGGAGGGAUAUUGAACCGCAUCAAGGGAUUCCGUCGAAACGGGCCUGAGCCUCCACUCCUGUUCCUCCGGCUGAGGCCCUCUCCCGUGCCAAAGUGUCUGAUUAAAUCCCGAUUUUAUAGCAGCUGCGCUUCUUAGCUGGUGUUCCUGGUAAAAGAAUCCGCCUGCCAACGCAGGAGAUGCAAGAGAUGCAAGUUCAAUCCCUGGGCUGGGAAGAGGCCCUGGAGGAGGAUGUGGCAACCCACUGCAGCAGCCUUGCCUGGAGAAUCCCCGUGGACGAAGGGACUUGAAAAUCCCAAGGAAGAGUUUCCGGUCAGGUCCGCCACAGGAGGGGAACGGAAGGGAGCCGGUGUGCAGAUCGAGCUCUCAGUGGUCUGGCUGAACAGGCCAGAGAGGCUCCCAGAAGGUCUGUCCCAAGACACGUGGCCUGUGAUACCGGGACACACGGAGGAGCAGCCCUGCCCCCGCCGCCCACAAGCAGUCUCCCUUC
Molecule: long non-coding RNA, 617 nt
Organism: Bos taurus (domestic cattle)
Lineage: Eukaryota; Metazoa; Chordata; Mammalia; Artiodactyla; Bovidae
Source: Ensembl